RNAcentral lists this ribosomal RNA (200 nucleotides) under uncultured organism. RNAcentral describes it as "partial small subunit ribosomal RNA". It matches the Rfam family "Bacterial small subunit ribosomal RNA", at positions 1184 to 1382 of the family's 1533-position model. The record is from RNAcentral.
GUCAAGUCAUCAUGCCCCUUAUGUCCAGGGCUGCAAACAUGCUACAAUGGCUGGUACAGAGGGCUGCGAAACCGCGAGGUCGAGCGAAUCCCACAAAGCCAGUCUCAGUUCGGAUCGAAGUCUGCAACUCGACUCCGUGAAGCUGGAGUUGCUAGUAAUCCCGGAUCAGCUACGCCGGGGUGAAUACGUUCCCGGGCCUU